Molecule: ribosomal RNA, 482 nt
Filed under: uncultured bacterium
Lineage: Bacteria
Description: bacterial SSU rRNA
Rfam family: Bacterial small subunit ribosomal RNA
Source: RNAcentral
ACUAGCAGUAAGAGUUUGAUCCUGGCUCAGGACGAACGCUGGCGGCAGGCUUAACACAUGCAAGUCGAGCGCUGUAGCAAUACAGAGCGGCAGACGGGUGAGUAACGCGUGGGAACGUGCCCUUCAGUUCGGGACAACCCAGGGAAACUUGGGCUAAUACCGGAUACGCCCUCAGGGGGAAAGAUUUAUCGCUGAAGGAUCGGCCCGCGUCAGAUUAGGUAGUUGGUGGGGUAAUGGCCUACCAAGCCUAUGAUCUGUAGGUGGUCUGAGAGGACGAUCACCCACACUGGGACUGAGACACGGCCCAGACUCCUACGGGAGGCAGCAGUGGGGAAUAUUGGACAAUGGGCGAAAGCCUGAUCCAGCCAUGCCGCGUGGAUGAAGAAGGCCCUAGGGUUGUAAAGCUCUUUUGCCAGGGAAGAUGAUGACGGUACCUGGAGAAUAAGCACCGGCUAACUUCGUGCCAGCCGCCGCGGUAAUUC